UGGACCAAUGAUGAUGACUGGUGGAGUAUGAGUAAUGGAUGAUAAAUAGCAUGUGUCUGGAACUCUGAGGUCCAA
Molecule: small nucleolar RNA, 75 nt
Organism: Rhinolophus ferrumequinum (greater horseshoe bat)
Lineage: Eukaryota; Metazoa; Chordata; Mammalia; Chiroptera; Rhinolophidae
Source: Ensembl